UACAGAGGUCUCAAGCGUUGUUCGGAUUCAUUGGGCGUAAAGGGUGCGUAGGUGGCGCUGUAAGUCGGGUGUGAAAUUUCGGAGCUUAACUCCGAAACUGCAUUCGAUACUGCGGUGCUUGAGGACUGGAGAGGAGACUGGAAUUCAUGGUGUAGCAGUGAAAUGCGUAGAGAUCAUGAGGAAGACCAGUGGCGAAGGCUGGUCUCUGGACAGUUCCUGACACUGAGGCACGAAGGCCAGGGGAGCAAACGGG
This 253-nucleotide ribosomal RNA is filed under the name uncultured bacterium. RNAcentral describes it as "partial 16S ribosomal RNA". It matches the Rfam family "Bacterial small subunit ribosomal RNA", at positions 524 to 776 of the family's 1533-position model. The record is from RNAcentral.